RNAcentral lists this transfer RNA (74 nucleotides) under Cigaritis takanonis. RNAcentral's name for it is "tRNA-Leu". Lineage: Eukaryota; Metazoa; Arthropoda; Insecta; Lepidoptera; Lycaenidae. The record is from RNAcentral.
ACUAUUUUGACAGAAAAAUGUGUUGAUUUUAGAAUUCAUUAAUAUAUAUAAUAUUUAUAUUUAUAUAAGUAGUA